This 427-nucleotide ribosomal RNA is filed under the name uncultured prokaryote. RNAcentral describes it as "bacterial SSU rRNA". It matches the Rfam family "Bacterial small subunit ribosomal RNA", at positions 355 to 774 of the family's 1533-position model. The record is from RNAcentral.
UAGGGAAUAUUGGACAAUGGGCGCAAGCCUGAUCCAGCCAUGCCGCGUGGAUGAUGAAGGCCUUCGGGUCGUAAAGUCCUUUUCUGAGGGAAGAACAUCCUGGGUAGGAAAUGCUCCAGGUUUGACGGUACCUCAGGAAUAAGCAACGGCCAACUCCGUGCCAGCAGCCGCGGUAAUACGAAGGUUGCAAGCGUUGUUCGGAAUUACUGGGCGUAAAGGGAGCGCAGGCGGCUUGGUCAGUCUGAAGUGAAAGCCCGGAGCUCAACUCCGGAAGUGCGUUCGAUACUGCCAAGCUUGAGUUCGGGAGAGGAGAGCGGAAUUCCAGGUGUAGCGGUGAAAUGCGUAGAUAUCUGGAGGAACACCGGUGGCGAAGGCGGCUCUCUGGCGCGAAACUGACGCUGAGGCUCGAAAGCAUGGGGAGCGAACG